UUUCCAAUUCAUAGAUCCUACGCCAUCCCAAAUUCCUAUCCCCAUAUUCCACUACCAAAUUGAAAUUCAAUGCAAGAAACGUUCCCACUUCCAAUUCAAUCCCGUCUCCAGGCUCGACGACCGCCAAUUCGAGAAGCGAAACCCAACCAUUUAAUCCUCUCUUGUCGUCGCUGUUGACCGUUCGACUCCCUCCGUCGGCUAUCCUACCACCACAAACGGCUGAAGACAGCAAUACACUUGGAAUUUUGAGAUGUAUACGUAGUGCUACCUACUCGCGCUGCCUCGCCAUUCUAUUGUAUUGCUACUUUCUUCCAGUCCUCCAUUGUCAUUGGCCAGAGCAUUAAGGUUAGUAUAGCGUUCUGAUUUUAAUUCCCGUUUGGUGGCUCCAAUCAAUUUAUGAUUUUAGCGAAUUUGUGAUUUGUGAAUAUGUGAUUUGUAAAUUGUAAAUUUAUUGAUGGAUAAUUAAUUUGUGAUUUGUGAGAUUUAGUUGGCAAAUGUAUCAACAAUUCAAAAUAGAUACUACAUUAUUAAUGAGAUUGUAAUUUAUGAAACCGUUAAGCGUAGUAACUUAAACCAUUAUUGAUAGUAA
Molecule: long non-coding RNA, 589 nt
Organism: Olea europaea var. sylvestris
Lineage: Eukaryota; Viridiplantae; Streptophyta; Magnoliopsida; Lamiales; Oleaceae
Exons: 2
Source: RefSeq, a predicted model, not a curated record